This 460-nucleotide ribosomal RNA is filed under the name uncultured bacterium. RNAcentral's name for it is "partial 16S ribosomal RNA". It matches the Rfam family "Bacterial small subunit ribosomal RNA", at positions 338 to 795 of the family's 1533-position model. The record is from RNAcentral.
CCUACGGGCGGCAGCAGUGAGGAAUAUUGGUCAAUGGUCGUGAGACUGAACCAGCCAAGUCGCGUGAGGGAUGAAGGUUCUAUGGAUCGUAAACCUCUUUUGUAAGGGAAUAAAGUCUGGGACGUGUCCUAUUUUGUAUGUACCUUAUGAAUAAGCAUCGGCUAACUCCGUGCCAGCAGCCGCGGUAAUACGGAGGAUCCGAGCGUUAUCCGGAUUUAUUGGGUUUAAAGGGUGCGUAGGCGGCCUUUUAAGUCAGCGGUGAAAGGCUGGGGCUCAACCAUGGAAUUGCCGUUGAAACUGGGGGUCUGGAGUAGGGUGGAGGUAUGCGGAAUGCGGGGUGUAGCGGGGAAAUGCUUAGAUAUCACGCAGAACUCCGAUUGUGAAGGCAGCCUGCCAAGCCCUGACUGACGCUGAGGCACGAAAGCGUGGGGAUCAAACAGGAUUAGAUACCCGAGUAGUC